RNAcentral lists this ribosomal RNA (740 nucleotides) under uncultured bacterium. Its description in RNAcentral is "bacterial SSU rRNA". It matches the Rfam family "Bacterial small subunit ribosomal RNA", at positions 8 to 796 of the family's 1533-position model. The record is from RNAcentral.
AGAGUUUGAUCAUGGCUCAGAGCGAACGCUGGCGGCAGGCCUAAUACAUGCAAGUCGAGCGCACCUUCGGGUGAGCGGCGGACGGGUGAGUAACGCGUGGGAAUAUGCCCUUUGGUACGGAACAACUGAGGGAAACUUCAGCUAAUACCGUAUGUGCCCUUCGGGGGAAAGAUUUAUCGCCAUUGGAGUAGCCCGCGUUGGAUUAGCUAGUUGGUAGGGUAAAGGCCUACCAAGGCUACGAUCCAUAGCUGGUCUGAGAGGAUGAUCAGCCACAUUGGGACUGAGACACGGCCCAAACUCCUACGGGAGGCAGCAGUAGGGAAUCUUGCGCAAUGGGCGAAAGCCUGACGCAGCCAUGCCGCGUGAAUGAUGAAGGUCUUAGGAUUGUAAAAUUCUUUCACCGGGGAAGAUAAUGACGGUACCCGGAGAAGAAGCCCCGGCUAACUUCGUGCCAGCAGCCGCGGUAAUACGAAGGGGGCUAGCGUUGCUCGGAAUUACUGGGCGUAAAGGGCGCGUAGGCGGAUAUUUAAGUUAGAGGUGAAAGCCCAGGGCUCAACCCUGGAAUAGCCUUUAAUACUGGAUAUCUUGAGUUCGGGAGAGGUGAGUGGAACUCCGAGUGUAGAGGUGAAAUUCGUAGAUAUUCGGAAGAACACCAGUGGCGAAGGCGACUCACUGGCCCGAUACUGACGCUGAGGCGCGAAAGCGUGGGGAGCAAACAGGAUUAGAUACCCUAGUAGUCC